Felis catus (domestic cat) is the source of this 5780-nucleotide long non-coding RNA. RefSeq lists it as uncharacterized. The transcript has 2 exons. The record is from RefSeq and is a predicted model, not a curated record. NCBI's taxonomy places the organism in Eukaryota, Metazoa, Chordata, Mammalia, Carnivora, Felidae.
GCUGCCGCAGAGAAGGAGUACACGCUCGCCUCUGCCGUCCCGUGUCGGGCCUGGCGUGGCCGCCGUGGGGCGCGGCCUCCGUGCAGGCACACGGGCACGGCGCGGGGGGGGCAGACUCAAUUGGGGCAUACACAAAAAACCACCCGCGGCCCACCCACAGGGCUCCGGGCCUCGGACCGCCACUGCCCACGCAAGUUCAGAGGGACAGCAAACACGGGGCAACGAGGACUGCCAUCUUGGGCCUGGCUCCUCUUUCCUCGUAGGCUGGGCACCAGCGGGCUCCAUAGGGCCCCUGUCCUUUCAGGAGAUGAGAGGGGCACACCAAUGGCAGUCAAGACCCCGUGGAGGACUAUGUUUCCUCCCAGGACACUCUCUGGGCAGUCCUCUUGUUUUCUAUGAUCCGAUCCCUGCCACCCCGUAGGGUACACAGGGCGAGGGCCUCCGGAGACAGAAGCUGCUGACGGGAAAGCUGGGCAGGGCGGCAGAGUGGAUGGGUGCAGGAGGAAGGCCCUGCACUGGGAGGCCUACAGGGAGGCCCUUGCUACUUGCCCUCCAGCUCGCUGCAAACUCCGGGCAGAAGGCAGCGGCCCCCAGGGGCUACGAGCUGGAAAACUCAAUCCAGGGAAGGCACGGACGGCAUCCGUGUUCUGUCCUGCCCAUGCUGUCCCCCUAGUGCCGAAGGGACAUGCUGAUGUCUCUGUCAUCUCAGAAGGGGCACGGUGUGGCUGCUGGCCCAAAGCCUCAAAUCCCAAGAGCGGCAGCUCCGGGGACAUUCAAUUUGGCUGAGUGGCCCAGCUGGGAGGCAGUGUCUGCCUGAUGCCUGCUCAGAGUCUGUGCUGAGAGGCUUGGACACAAAAGCCUGGUGUAAAGAUGGCUGCAAGGCCAGGACAAGCCCAGGGAGAAGGCAUUUCUGGCCACCGCAUGAGAGAGAGACCGGGCUGGCCAAAGCAUCACCUUGCUGACCUGCUCCCGAGGCUUCAAGGCAGGCCGUGGCCCAGCACAACUACUGACUAUCCGGGCAGAGCCCCCGGCGGGUGGGAAGACAGGGCAGGGAACCAUGUGGACGCGCUGGGCAAGUCGGUCCCUGCGCAACGCUUUCUGCAGCACUGCCUGUCCACCCCUGGUCCAGGACCCUGGUGAUGAGUGCUGCUCACAGUACUAGCAGGAGAGCCGGGGAUGAACAGAGACAGGGAAGGCGUCCUGGAAGUAUGGCUGGGUGAGAAAGUCCAGUGCCAUGAGACACGAACUCAUUUAUAUAUUUACAUAAAACCGCCCGCCUGCACACACCUUCAUUUGAGGGCGCGUGAGCAAAAUGGGGCGCACAGAGGGGACUACAGUCUGUGAAGUCUGCUGCCACCCCUACAACCAGCAGUGCCGGGCCGCGGGGUGCCUGGAACCGGGCCGCAGACCCAUGCCCCGGCAAGGGUGCUGCCAGCUCACCCAGGCCCGUGACAGUGCCUUCCUGCCUCUGGAACAGCCUGCAAGAGCCGGGAAGGUGGGGUGCACAUGUGUUGGGCGUGGGAGGAAUUAGCUGAAGCCAAAGGCGUGACAGGUAGCGCUCGGGAGCCUACUGGUGUGUUGAGAGGACAACUUCAGCAGCAAGAAACCACCCACCACAUGACAGGAGACACGUGGCCGCAUCCUGGGGGACAGACAGCACAGGACUGCCGCUGCUCCUUGCCAGGACAGCACAAGGAGCCAGCGCUGGAGGUGAUUAGCCUGUCUGUGUGCUCAGUGUCACCUCUGUGGCUCUGGAGACAGCAAUCUGGAGCGAGGACAGCCCUAGGCACUGUCACCCAACAGCAAGCAUGUGGGGGCUUCUGCCCAGCAUGGAGCCACCCCAGCAGUGCCGCCCACACGCCCAUUCAGUCAAACCAGAGAGGGACACGGUGCGGGGGUGGGGAAAGCAUGCACCAAGCAGCAGUAUCUCCAGGACCUGGGCAGAGGGCAGUGCUGUGUGAUCUAACCCCGGACGUAUUCGUCUAACCACACCGAGCACACAGCCCCCACGGCUCACCAAUGUGUUGCCCUCCCAAGCAGGCGGCCCGCCGCUCGCUCUGGAGAUGACAGAUGGCCCAUUCGGGAGAGUGGAGCCAGCCCUGCCGUGGCCCUGGGGGUGACGGUGGGCAGAGAACAAAGUCCAGCCCCGUGCCUUCCGCGAGCACACUCCAAUGUGGGAAACCUGACUUGCAAUGGAGGAAGUCCUCCCCAUCUCAAAGAACGCGCUCUUGUGCGCUCGUGCUGAGCAUGCCCACGCAGGACCGCCUCGGGGCAGCGUAGGCCUGGGGCUGGCAUCGCUCCCGUCCCCUGCUUCUCACCCCGGCGCAGCGGCCUGGCCUCUCCAGCAGGAAACUCAGAGUCCCUAUUUGUGAGUGUUCGUUGUACUACUGAGGUAAUGACGGCCACCACCACUGACAACUACUGAGGCUCAUGCUGCCAACAGCCUGGGACCAUUCCAGGGAAGAGUACCCGUGCGCCAGGAAGAGCUGAAAGUAGGGCAGAGAGAGCUUUGCCAGAAACCCGCCCCGUCUAGGGCGCCGCCCCAUCUAGGGCGUGUGAUGGGCCGGAAAGGCAUCAGGCUGGGUCUGCAGCCAACUCCAGCUGCACUGCCUUCUCCAAAGCCCCGUCUCUCUCUGGGAAUCAGGGACAAAGCCGCGCUGUGACCUCAGAGCAAGCCGCACCCCAUUUUCUCGGCGACACGACCUUGGAAAUGGGAACAUCGCACAAAAGAUCUCAUUUCUCAGUCAACAGAUGGUCGGGGUGCUUCUGGCUACAGUGACAAAAGCUAAUCUCAAACCAAAGGAUUAUGAGCCACAACAGAGACUCACCUGUAACAGACUGCCCCGAGCAAAACCAGACCCUGCUGGCGGCCAGCCCUGCCUGGCCCCUCACGAGCACCUACCCGGCCUGUUUCCCUGCGUCGAUCGGACACACGCUACAUGGGGCUGCCAGCGGCCAAGACACUGCAAAGGCAGUUGCCUCACUACAGCCGCGGGGGACAACAGGCCUGCCACUCACCUGCCUUCUGCUCCGAGGGCCCAGCAUCCCGAGAUCCUGAUGCCAGGGUCCUCAGCCUCCUUUCCAGCUUUCCUCCUGGCUUCUAACAAGACGGAGGCUCAGGGAAGAGAAGAUUCCAGAUGUGGCUCACACACCUGAAGAGGGGCCGCUCCUGGCCGCCCAGGUAACAAGGGUGCGUCUGCCUCCCUGUCCAGAGGCACUCGGAGGCAGAACUGAACUGUCCAACUUUGCCCACAAGCGCUUCCCCCUCCUGCUCCCUGGCCUGGACAAGCGGGCAGGGCCUGGCCCACACUUGGGAGGCUGGAGCUGUCCUGGACAGGGCUGCAGAGUUGGGGCAUGCAGCACCAGGGCCUUCACUGGUGCCUGACACUCUGUCCAGGUUUAGGAAGUUUGCUGGAUGAGUCAAAUGAGGCUGGAUGGAGGAGGGAGGAGCCAGGCCCCAGUGGACCCCAGACUGCUCAGAGACAGAGGUGUCAGGGGAGUAUUCUCAGGGCAGGUAGAACGCUGGGGGGCUGCAGCCUUAAAGGAGCCAAAAACAGGCUCCAGAGACUUGCACAGCCCCUACCCCAUUACCCUGGAAACCUCCCUGCAGAAGUCCCUCGUUCCUGCUGCUCUGGGCGGGUCCAGCCAGCCUCCCUCCAUUCCCAUAGCUGCAAACCCACCUCCACCAGGACCGCACCAGGAGACAGCCCCAGGGGUUCACUGUUAUCACCACCAUUCUCAUUUACCCAUCAGCAUGUCCAGUGCUAAGGGAGUUGGAGUCUCUGUCCUCAUGGAGCUAACCCUCUAGAGGGGCAAGCAGACAAAACACAAGGGCAAAGUGGACAAACCAUACCAAUGCGUCCGCAAUGAUGUGGAAGAAGCUGGAAGGGUGGUCAGGGAGAGCCUUAGCUCAGGGGCACUGGCACAUACACCUAAAAUGCCAACCAGACCCAGCUCCGGGGCCCUUGGGGGGUGUGCAGGGACUGUGGGGGCAGCACAGAGGAACAGCCCUCAGGACACCAGCCAGCAUCAAGGGACAACCGUGAAGUCCAGAGGCAGUUCCAGGGUAGACCCCAUGGGCCUCUGGAGAAAGCGUGCUGGAGUCUCCACUUAUGGCUCCCAGGUCCUGGCUCUCUUCCUACGACCUAUGCUUCCCUGGACAUCAUGGGGGGGCACCCAAGCCCACUACAUGAUUCUGCACGCAGGAUGGGGCCCUGACUGCAGCUGCCACCUAUCUGUGUCCUCAGGGAGUGCUUUUCUCAAGGGCCUACCUAGCUUUAUCCUCUCUGAUCUUGGGCUACCUCAAAGAUUCUUUGGAACAAGCAGGUGUCACAGACUCAAGUCCUACAAGACUCACCCUGUGCCAGGCAUAUAGUCACUUUUUGCCGGGAAGGUGUGAGAUGGGAAGGACACACAAUGCUCCUCAGGGCCUGGGCAGCCUCCUGCGAUCUGGCGGCUCCUGAAGGAGAGCUGUCAUCGCAGGGCAGCCUCGCCUCAUCCCUUACCCCUCCCCCCCUCCCGCCCCUCUCCUCCCUCCAAGAAAGAGGUUGCCCUGGCACCCAGACCAUUCUGGAGGAAUCCAGGCACACAGCAUUUCUGCCUUGGAGAGAUCACCCAAGUCCCGAGAUGAGAUGCCCGGGCUGGAACCGUGGUUUCCUUGGACCCCCACAACCUGCGGCCCUCGCAGAGCCUUCCUGAAUCGACAGUUUAGACCCGGAAGUGCAGGGGGCUGCUCCGGAUCGCGGCUCAGCCACCGCCCCCUGGUGGGCCUGGCCCCAGGAGCUCAGUAGGAGCCCAUUUCCUCUUGGCCUCUUCCAUCUCCCCAGUCAGGGUGACAAAAUGGCCCUGCCCCCGCUCUACCCUUCCAACUUCAACUCUUGCAAAGCCUCCCCAGAGCCUGGCGGCACGGCACAACAGGUGGGGCAGGCAGAAGGCGGCAGGCACGAUCUACCCCAGACUCACGAACCCUGGCCUCUUAGGUGGAGCAGAGCCUGAGUCCCGGCGGAUUCCAGAACACACUGACCACCUCAGAUGCUCCAGCCCAGGGGCCUUCCCCGUCCCCUCGGGACAGACAACAAAGUCCACGCCAGCUACGUGCAGAAUCCGCUUUAUCCGCAGAACCUCGGACUGGGCGCCCGGCAGGCCCUGCCCAUCAACCCGGUGCCGCCGGCCAUCGAGGAGCGGCGGGGCGGACACGGUCUCACCUCCGGGCUCAGCGCCGCCGGCCCCGCCAGGCCCGGAGGAACCUCCCACCGCGGCCGGGGGCCCCCCGCGUGUCCAGACCCAGCCCGUCGAGGUCGCCCUGCCCGCACCGCGGGCUCCGGCUCACACGGCGGACGCGAGAGGGCGUGCGCGGCCCCCAGCCCGUGCUCGGCGGGGCGCGCCUACCGGUCCUCGCACGAGGCCUCGCUCCUCUCCGCCGGCCGGUCGGGCCCGUCUCCCGCCGCAGCGGGCGGCGGAGGCAAGCGGGGCGCGUCAGCAGAGGCUGGGGGCGCCGCCAUGGAACUCUGAGGCCUCUCCGCGGGCCGCGUCUCCGGGGCUGGCCGCCGGGAGUCGUAGUUCGGGGCUUUGCGCCGCACACUCGCUGGCGCGCCGUGCGGACUACAAGUCCCACAAGGCCGUGCGGCUGUGCGUGCCGGGACUCGUAGUCCGGCCUCACCCGCUGCGAGCGGGCGGACGGGAGUCGUCUGCGAAGAAAGAUCCCACCCCGAGCUUUACCAUAAACUCAGCAGCACAAAGCCCCUGGAAAAAAAUCAAUAAACAUUUAUUUGAUACAGUCA